AUUUGUCCUUGAUGGCACUGAUAAUCUCUUUAGAUAAUUCAGCAGGAACAGCAGGACAGCCU
RNAcentral lists this unclassified non-coding RNA (62 nucleotides) under Flavobacterium sinopsychrotolerans. RNAcentral describes it as "Flavo-1 RNA". Lineage: Bacteria; Pseudomonadati; Bacteroidota; Flavobacteriia; Flavobacteriales; Flavobacteriaceae. The record is from RNAcentral.